GGGACGAAUAGCUCAGUAAAACUGCGAUGAUUUAGUCUGGCUGUGUAGAUAACUACGUGAAAAUGUAGCUAAGGGAAGGCAGAAUAAGACGCAGGACUAUCAGUUAGUUGGUAGUGUAAUGGACUACCAAGACAGUGACGGUUGACGGGUAAUUAGGGUUUUGUACCGGAGAGGGAGCCUGAGAGAUUGCUCCCACGUCCAAGGACGGCAGCAGGCGCGAAAAUUGCCCACUCUUUGCAGGAGGCAGUUAUGAGACGUGAAGAUGAGUAUCUUGUAAAGAGGGAUAGGAGAAUUGGAGGGCAAGUUUGGUGCCAGCAGCCGCGGUAAUACCGACUCCAAGAGUGUGUAUGAGAGAUGCUGCAGUUAAAAAGUCCGUAGUCAUAGAAGGGCAAAGAGAGAUGCGAGGUCUCACAGUGCGAUGAUGGAGGAGCCGAUGGGGAACAUAGUAUACCAGGGCGAGAGAUGAAAUG
This 470-nucleotide ribosomal RNA is filed under the name Vittaforma corneae. RNAcentral describes it as "SSU rRNA". It matches the Rfam family "Microsporidia small subunit ribosomal RNA", at positions 76 to 571 of the family's 1311-position model. Lineage: Eukaryota; Fungi; Microsporidia; Nosematidae. The record is from RNAcentral.